This 327-nucleotide ribosomal RNA is filed under the name uncultured eukaryote. Its description in RNAcentral is "partial 18S ribosomal RNA". It matches the Rfam family "Eukaryotic small subunit ribosomal RNA", at positions 1470 to 1796 of the family's 1831-position model. The record is from RNAcentral.
CCCUUAGAUGUUCUGGGCCGCACACGCGCUACACUGAAGGAGGCAGCGUGUACUCCUGGAUCGAAAGAUUUGGGUAACCCGCGAAUCUCCUUCGUGCUAGGGAUUGAGGUUUGCAAUUAUCCUUCAUGAACGAGGAAUUCCCAGUAAGUGCAAGUCAUAAGCUUGCGCUGACUACGUCCCUGCCCUUUGUACACACCGCCCGUCGCUCCUACCGAUUGAAUGAUCCGGUGAGGCCCCCGGACUGUGGCAACGCAGCUGGUUCGCCAGCCGCGAUGCCGCGGGAAGCUGUCCAAACCUUAUCAUUUAGAGGAAGGAGAAGUCGUAACA